RNAcentral lists this long non-coding RNA (243 nucleotides) under Mytilus galloprovincialis (Mediterranean mussel). Lineage: Eukaryota; Metazoa; Mollusca; Bivalvia; Mytilida; Mytilidae. The record is from RNAcentral.
UGUCAUUUGAAUUAUACAAUCCAUCGUGAUAUGUAACUAUAAGUGAUUUACUAUGCGGCUAUAUAUAUAUAUUAAGAUUUACAUUAUAAAGUGUAAAUAUGGUCAGUUUUGGUUGAUGCUGACACAUAUGGUCAGUUUUGGUUGAUGCUGUCAAAUAUAAAAAAGAAGAUGUGGUAUGAUUGCCAAUGAGACAACUAUCCACAAAAGACCAAAAUGACACAGACAUUAACAACUAUAGGUCAC